UACAGAGGGUGCGAGCGUUGUCCGGAAUCACUGGGCGUAAAGGGCGCGUAGGUGGCUUACCAAGCGUGUGGUGAAAGCCCGGAGCUCAACUCCGGGUCGGCCAUGCGAACUGGCAGGCUAGAGCACGGUAGAGGCCAAUGGAAUUCCGGGUGUAGCGGUGGAAUGCGUAGAGAUCGGGAAGAACAUCAGUGGCGAAGGCGGCCUGCUGGGCUGUUGCUGACGCUGAGGCGCGACAGCGUGGGGAGCAAACAGG
RNAcentral lists this ribosomal RNA (253 nucleotides) under uncultured bacterium. RNAcentral describes it as "partial 16S ribosomal RNA". It matches the Rfam family "Bacterial small subunit ribosomal RNA", at positions 524 to 776 of the family's 1533-position model. The record is from RNAcentral.